GGAGGAGUAAUCAAGCCUGGCCAAAGUAAGCACAUUUGCUUUCAGGAGUUCGUGGGUUCAAAUCCCACCUCCUCCA
RNAcentral lists this transfer RNA (76 nucleotides) under Nitrososphaerota archaeon. RNAcentral describes it as "Thaumarchaeota archaeon tRNA-Ala". It matches the Rfam family "tRNA". Rfam says of the family: Transfer RNA (tRNA) molecules are approximately 80 nucleotides in length. Their secondary structure includes four short double-helical elements and three loops (D, anti-codon, and T loops). Further hydrogen bonds mediate the characteristic L-shaped molecular structure. tRNAs have two regions of fundamental functional importance: the anti-codon, which is responsible for specific mRNA codon recognition, and the 3' end, to which the tRNAs corresponding amino acid is attached (by aminoacyl-tRNA synthetases). tRNAs cope with the degeneracy of the genetic code in two manners: having more than one tRNA (with a specific anti-codon) for a particular amino acid; and 'wobble' base-pairing, i.e. permitting non-standard base-pairing at the 3rd anti-codon position. The record is from RNAcentral. Lineage: Archaea; Thermoproteati; Nitrososphaerota.